CAGCAGCCACGGGAAAACGGAGGGUGCAAGCGUUAAUCGGAAUUACUGGGCGUAAAGCGUGCGUAGGCGGUGAGUUAAGUCUGCUGUGAAAUCCCCGGGCUCAACCUGGGAAUGGCAGUGGAUACUGGCUCGCUUGAGUGUGUCAGAGGAUGGUGGAAUUCCCGGUGUAGCGGUGAAAUGCGUAGAGAUCGGGAGGAACAUCAGUGGCGAAGGCGGCCAUCUGGGACAACACUGACGCUGAGGCACGAAAGCGUGGGGAGCAAACAGGAUUAGAUACCCCGGUAGUCCCUGUCUCUUAUAA
This 301-nucleotide ribosomal RNA is filed under the name uncultured bacterium. RNAcentral describes it as "partial 16S ribosomal RNA". It matches the Rfam family "Bacterial small subunit ribosomal RNA", at positions 509 to 809 of the family's 1533-position model. The record is from RNAcentral.